CGCGAGUGACCGAGUGGGCAAGGGGCUGUCACUGUGUGUGCGUGAUUGUUGUGACGGUGUGUAGUGGUCGCUUCUGACUCCGCAUGGGUCGCUGAAUGUGUGACUGGUACCGUUUAGCGGUGGAUACACAAUUGUGUGCGGCUGUGGAAGAUUCCCUCAUCCGUUAAGUUCCCAUUUCCGUGGAACAGCAGUUUUACCAGAAGGUUUGGAAGGAGCCUUAAAAAUUAGGAAGCGCGGCUUUGGUGCCAUCACGUGUGAGAAGCCCAGGACUUUACACAUCCCGAGCCAGUGUGGUCCAAUAUGAUGGGGAGUCCAAGUGCCAGAUGCCGGUCAGGACCUGUUAUUCUGGGUCUCAGAAUGAGGAAGCCCUCCCUGUCCGAGAUGGAACAGUUCGUCUUUGAGUCAGGCCCGGAGUCCUGAGUUACUGUCUUUUGAUUUGAUCCUGUUUCCCUCAGACCUGGUGAACUCUAUGGUGUAAUAAGUGGAGAUUGGGGUCUCACUGUAUUGCCCAGGCUGAUCUUCAAUUCCUGAGCUCAAGUGAUCAUCUUGCCUCAGCCUCCCAAAAUGCUGAUGCUGCUGCGUCGUUGUCUAGGGUAAAUACCUGAGGUUCGUUGUCUCACGCCAAGGGAAUCGAGGACGCGGACACACAAGAAGUGAGUUUAAGAGCAGAGGUUUAAUAGGCAAAAGAGAAAAGAGAACAGCUCUAGCUUCUGCAGAGGGAGAAGGGCUCCCAGGUAGGACUUCCAUGGGGCAUGGGGUUUUGUAGACUGGCUUCAGGAGGUGGUGUCUGAUUUACAUAAGCCCCAAAGAUUGGUUGGACCAGGUGUGCCAAUCAGAAGCUGGUUGUCCCACCCUAACCUUUUAUUAUGCAGAUGGAGUCCCUACCUGGCCAGGGCCAUGCUGUCUGUUCCUUACUGUACACUUCCCUUUUGAUUGACAAAAGGGAAGAUGCAGCUGCCAUGUUGGACAUGCCUGGCCCCCAGGUACCUUUUUCCUAUUGGCACAGCUGCCAGCAUUCAUCCGUGCAAGCUUCCAGCUUGCUUAUCUAUGUCUGCGGCGUGAUUUUUCAGGCUGCUCUUUGUUAGAAAUGACUCAGGGGCUGCUUUUCAUUAAAAGGAAAACCGUACCGAGGAUUUCCUUACUCUCAGUAUCUGCCUAACUAAUUUCUUUUUAACUCCUAUGUCACUUGGGAUUACAGGCAUGAGCCACUGUGCCUGGUAGAGGGUUUUUUUGUCUUUAUUCCUCAAGAUUUUGCAUUUAGAUAAUUAUGUUAAACUUAGGUGUGCUAGGUAGACAUAUGUCUGCUGAUUACCCAUUAGGAAGAAUGUGGAUUCCUACUUAGGGAAAAGGAGUCAGGCUGGUGGGACCAGUGGAAAGCAAAGAGAUAAAGCAAAUAAGCUAUAGAUCUGCAUUUUCUUCAUGGUCCAGGAUAUAUAAACAGAAAAAGGAAGCAGAUAAGCUAUAGGCUUGCUUUUCUUUAUGGCCCAGGACAUACAGCCCUCCUGAACAAAUCAUGAACAUAACUCACAAACUUCCUGCUUGUCAUCAAACGCACGCAAACAUUCAUCAUCAAACACCUUGGGUGACAGAGAAUGCAGGUUAGCUCCCUGCUGCCUUGGCGUUAUCCAUCAGCCCAGGAACCAUCCUAUAAAAUCUCCAGCAAGCCUUUGUUUCCUUGCAGUCAGCUCCUCUUCCGCUGAUUCUGCCUGUUGCUCCCUGAUAACACUUUCAUACUGUCUUUAAUAAAUCUGCCUUUCGCCA
This is a non-coding RNA of Chlorocebus sabaeus (green monkey), 1761 nucleotides long. The record is from RefSeq and is a predicted model, not a curated record. Lineage: Eukaryota; Metazoa; Chordata; Mammalia; Primates; Cercopithecidae.